ACUACCAUGGUUUCUACGGGUAACGGAGAAUUAGGGUUCGAUUCCGGAGAGGGAGCCUGAGAAACGUAAGUCAAUUGAUUCCACUAAUGCAUUUAUCAGUCAAAACUAACAUUCAAUCAGGGCUACCACAUCCAAGGAAGGCAGCAGGCGCGCAAAUUACCCAAUUCUGAUACAGAGAGGUAGUGACAAGAAAUACUGAUAGAGAACUCUUUUGGGUUUUCUAAUUGGAAUGAGUACAAUCUAAACCCCUUAACGAGGAACAAUUGGAGGGCAAGUCUGGUGCCAGCAGCCGCGGUAAUUCCAGCUCCAAUAGCGUAUAUUAAAGUUGUUGCAGUUAAAAAGCUCGUAGUUGAAACUUGGGUCUGGCUGACCGGUCCGCCUCACCGCGUGCACUGGCUUGGCCGGGCCUUUCCUUCUGGGGAAUUGCAUGCCCUUCAUUGGGUGUGUUAAGGAUCCAGGACUUUUACUUUGAAAAAAUUAGAGUGUUCAAAGCAGGCAUAUGCUCGAAUACAUUAGCAUGGAAUAAUAGAAUAGGGCGUGUGGUUCUAUUUUGUUGGUUUCUAGACCAAACGCAAUGAUUAAUAGGGAUAGCCGGGGGCAUCUGUAUUCCGCUGUCAGAGGUGAAAUUCUUGGAUUUGCGGAAGACAAACUACUGCGAAAGCAUUUGCCAAGGAUGUUUUC
RNAcentral lists this ribosomal RNA (681 nucleotides) under uncultured fungus. RNAcentral's name for it is "SSU rRNA". It matches the Rfam family "Eukaryotic small subunit ribosomal RNA", at positions 340 to 971 of the family's 1831-position model. Lineage: Eukaryota; Fungi. The record is from RNAcentral.